RNAcentral lists this ribosomal RNA (371 nucleotides) under Nakazawaea populi. RNAcentral's name for it is "eukaryotic LSU rRNA". It matches the Rfam family "Eukaryotic large subunit ribosomal RNA", at positions 20 to 389 of the family's 3401-position model. Lineage: Eukaryota; Fungi; Ascomycota; Pichiomycetes; Alaninales; Pachysolenaceae. The record is from RNAcentral.
AUUACCCGCUGAACUUAAGCAUAUCAAUAAGCGGAGGAAAAGAAACCAACAGGGAUUACCUUAGUAACGGCGAGUGAAGCGUAAGAGCUCAAAUUUGAAAUCUAGCACUUUCAGUGUUCGAGUUGUAAUUUGAAGAAGGUAUCUUUGGAGUUGGCCCCCGUCUAUGUUCCUUGGAACAGGACGUCACAGAGGGUGAGAAUCCCGUGCGAUGGGGAGACCAAUUCUAUGUAAAGUUCCUUCGAAGAGUCGAGUUGUUUGGGAAUGCAGCUCUAAGUGGGUGGUAAAUUCCAUCUAAAGCUAAAUAUUGGCGAGAGACCGAUAGCGAACAAGUACAGUGAUGGAAAGAUGAAAAGAACUUUGAAAAGAGAGUG